RNAcentral lists this long non-coding RNA (247 nucleotides) under Homo sapiens (human). RNAcentral describes it as "HSALNT0101770". Lineage: Eukaryota; Metazoa; Chordata; Mammalia; Primates; Hominidae. The record is from RNAcentral.
AGAGCACAGCCUGGCAAACCUGCACAAGGUUCCUUCCACCAUAUAGAGAAGCCGCUGCUGCCUGUGACUGACAGGUUGGGAGGUCUACUGCCCUGGGGAAGAAGGCAGUCACGGCAGAAAAGGAGUUUCCAACAGAAGAAGUAGAAAUCCUGGUCAAGCCUCCUAUGGAGUGUAGAAAGAAGAGAGGCAGAGGAAUUGCAGCAAAUGAUCAGGUUGUCCGAGUCAGAAAUGUGAGAGUGGUUUAGCC